UGGGGAAUAUUGCGCAAUGGGGGCAACCCUGACGCAGCCAUGCCGCGUGAAUGAAGAAGGCCUUCGGGUUGUAAAGUUCUUUCGGUGACGAGGAAGGUUGUUGUGUUAAUAGCGCAACAAAUUGACGUUAAUCACAGAAGAAGCACCGGCUAACUCCGUGCCAGCAGCCGCGGUAAUACGGAGGGUGCGAGCGUUAAUCGGAAUAACUGGGCGUAAAGGGCACGCAGGCGGCUAUUUAAGUGAGGUGUGAAAUCCCCGGGCUUAACCUGGGAAUUGCAUUUCAGACUGGGUAGCUAGAGUACUUUAGGGAGGGGUAGAAUUCCACGUGUAGCGGUGAAAUGCGUAGAGAUGUGGAGGAAUACCGAAGGCGAAGGCAGCCCCUUGGGAAUGUACUGACGCUCAUGUGCGAAAGCGUGGGGAGCAAACA
RNAcentral lists this ribosomal RNA (427 nucleotides) under uncultured bacterium. RNAcentral's name for it is "bacterial SSU rRNA". It matches the Rfam family "Bacterial small subunit ribosomal RNA", at positions 355 to 774 of the family's 1533-position model. The record is from RNAcentral.